UUCGUCUCUAUCAAGGGAGUACCAAACCCUUUUAUCUGCUUCGUCCCCUCCCCUGUGCGUGGGGGUAUAAAGCACCGGGCUCUGCUUCCGUCACGCGAGACGGCGAGAGCACAACAUUAGCAGCGGUUGUACCUUGGGGGCCGCUAAAGCAGCUUGGUCCAAGCUGUCUGUAGAACUUAAGCAACUCCGAUCCCAGCCACGGGACACGGCAGAUUGAAGCCAUCAGCUCCGGUUUCUGGCGCCGGAUUUGGGAUCCGCGCGAUGUCUUGGUCCGCGCCCGACGACAUCCUCCUCUCCACCUCACUCGCGGGCUUCCUGGACAAGAAACUUAUUGUCCUGCUAAGAGAUGGACGGAAACUUCUUGGCACCCUCUGCUCAUUUGAUCAGUUUGCAAAUGUUGUUCUUCAGGGUGCUUGUGAACGAGUAAUUGUAGGGGAACAAUAUUGUGAUGUUCCUCUUGGUCUGUAUGUGAUCCGGGGAGAGAACGUUGUUUUAAUCGGAGAAUUGGAUCACGAAAAGGAUGAACUCCCCGCUCACAUGACAUGUGUUUUAGAAGCAGAAAUUAGAAAGUGAUACAGAUUGUUCAUGAACAACCCUGUGUUUUCCCGAAGAUAAUUCUAACUGUGGCUCUAAAAAGUUUGUUGUCUUGCUCCUUUACUGGGUGUUUCACUGGCUGAGAAGGCGGAGCGGGAAGCAAGGGAUCUGAAAGGCACGAUGAGGAAACGGAUGGAGUUCCUAGACUUCGACUGAUAAUAAACCCGUUCCCGUGGUGGUUGCUGCUCCCCUCCCAUUGCGGCCGCGGAGUUUUUAGUGGCGGCCUGUGCCAUACCUGAUGACUAGCAGUGAUGUUUUCUACGUACUUUUGAUGCCACAUCAGAUCCUUUGAGCGCCUCCUGAUACGGCUGUCACUUCUCUCUGAUUAUUACUACUGCCUGGGGAGAUGCCAUGUGCUCUCCUCCGUCGUCGUUUGCAACAGUGCAUUCGCCCUAUCUCGUGAUUUAUUUAUUUAUUUAUUUAUAUAACUGGUAUUACUGUACUA
This is an RNA transcript of Zea mays, 1039 nucleotides long. It is a transcript of the gene named small nuclear ribonucleoprotein LSM1, with no coding region annotated. Lineage: Eukaryota; Viridiplantae; Streptophyta; Magnoliopsida; Poales; Poaceae. The transcript has 6 exons. The record is from RefSeq and is marked validated.